AUUGAACGCUGGCGACAGGCCUAACACAUGCAAGUCGAGCGGAUGAAGGGAGCUUGCUCCUGGAUUCAGCGGCGGACGGGUGAGUAAUGCCUAGGAAUCUGCCUGGUAGUGGGGGAUAACGUCCGGAAACGGGCGCUAAUACCGCAUACGUCCUGAGGGAGAAAGUGGGGGAUCUUCGGACCUCACGCUAUCAGAUGAGCCUAGGUCGGAUUAGCUAGUUGGUGGGGUAAAGGCCUACCAAGGCGACGAUCCGUAACUGGUCUGAGAGGAUGAUCAGUCACACUGGAACUGAGACACGGUCCAGACUCCUACGGGAGGCAGCAGUGGGGAAUAUUGGACAAUGGGCGAAAGCCUGAUCCAGCCAUGCCGCGUGUGUGAAGAAGGUCUUCGGAUUGUAAAGCACUUUAAGUUGGGAGGAAGGGCAGUAAGUUAAUACCUUGCUGUUUUGACGUUACCAACAGAAUAAGCACCGGCUAACUUCG
Molecule: ribosomal RNA, 482 nt
Filed under: uncultured bacterium
Lineage: Bacteria
Description: partial 16S ribosomal RNA
Rfam family: Bacterial small subunit ribosomal RNA
Source: RNAcentral